CGGGGAUGAUGGUGGUGACGGGAAGGGGGUUGACAAGAAGGGGUGGCUGCAUGGCAACGCAAAGCUACCAAAGCAGGUUCCUGCUACUGAGGAGCAUAAGUGGCUCAUUGAGCCCACGGGAAAAGACAACUAGAUAUAUUCUAAAGGGGUCCGUAUUCCCAACGGCCUCAUCACCGUCUUGCUGAAGUUAUAUUGGCCAGGGUUGUAUUGUCCUGAUCCAGUCAGGCAGCCGGACCGUCGGGUUUUGGCCACGAGCUGGGACCACUGGGAAGCGGCCCGCCACGCGGACCAUGAGACCCAUGCCAAGGCCGUGAUCACUACUUUCUGGAAAUUCUAUCGAGUUCUUCCGGAGCACAGGGCUAGAGUGGACCAGAUCGUGUUGCGCCAAUGCAAAAAGAAGGCCCGCCAGAUGCAGUACGAGGUGCGCUAUGUGGCCAUCUCCACAUACUACCACGACUAUCUUGGUGUGAAGAUGACCAAGGAAGAAGCGCGGAGGAUGGGCAUUACCUUGG
Molecule: long non-coding RNA, 512 nt
Organism: Triticum dicoccoides
Lineage: Eukaryota; Viridiplantae; Streptophyta; Magnoliopsida; Poales; Poaceae
Exons: 3
Source: RefSeq, a predicted model, not a curated record